Molecule: ribosomal RNA, 588 nt
Filed under: uncultured bacterium
Lineage: Bacteria
Description: bacterial SSU rRNA
Rfam family: Bacterial small subunit ribosomal RNA
Source: RNAcentral
UCCUACGGGAGGCAGCAGUAGGGAAUCUUCCGCAAUGGACGAAAGUCUGACGGAGCAACGCCGCGUGAGUGAAGAAGGUUUUCGGAUCGUAAAACUCUGUUGUCAGAGAAGAACACGUUGGAGAGUAACUGCUCCAGCCUUGACGUUAUCUGUCCAGAAAGCCAUGGCUAACUACGUGCCAGCAGCCGCGGUAAUACGUAGGUGGCAAGCGUUGUCCGGAUUUAUAGGGCGUAAAGCGAGCGCAGGCGGUUCCUUAAGUCUGAUGUGAAAGCCCACGGCUCAACCGUGGAAGGUCAUUGGAAACUGGGGAACUUGAGUGCAGAAGAGGAGAGUGGAAUUCCAUGUGUAGCGGUGAAAUGCGUAGAUAUAUGGAGGAACACCAGUGGCGAAGGCGACUCUCUGGCCUGUAACUGACGCUGAGGCUCGAAAGCGUGGGGAGCAAACAGGAUUAGAUACCCUGGUAGUCCACGCCGUAAACGAUGAGUGCUAAGUGUUGGAGGGUUUCCACCCUUCAGUGCUGCAGCUAACGCAUUAAGCACUCCGCCUGGGGAGUACGGCCGCAAGGCUGAAACUCAAAGGAAUUGACGG